RNAcentral lists this ribosomal RNA (503 nucleotides) under uncultured bacterium. Its description in RNAcentral is "partial 16S ribosomal RNA". It matches the Rfam family "Bacterial small subunit ribosomal RNA", at positions 29 to 507 of the family's 1533-position model. The record is from RNAcentral.
AACGAACGCUGGCGGCGUGCCUAACACAUGCAAGUCGAACGAGAAAGGGGCUUCGGCUCCGAGUAAAGUGGCGCACGGGUGAGUAACACGUGGGUAACCUGCCUCUAAGAUUGGGAUAACUCGUCGAAAGAUGAGCUAAUACCGAAUAAGACCACAGUUCCCGCGGGAACAGGGGUCAAAGGUAGCCUCUGCUUGCAAGCUAUCACUUAGAGAUGGGCCUGCGCACCAUUAGCUAGUUGGUAGGGUAACGGCCUACCAAGGCAAAGAUGGUUAGCUGGUCUGAGAGGAUGAUCAGCCACACUGGAACUGAGACACGGUCCAGACUCCUACGGGAGGCAGCAGUGGGGAAUAUUGCGCAAUGGGCGAAAGCUUGACGCAGCAACGCCGCGGGAGUGAUGAAGGCCUUCGGGUCGUAAAGCUCUGUCGGGAGGAACGAAUGCUCCUGAGGUUAACAGCCUCGGGAGGUGACGGUACCUUCAAAGGAGGCACCGGCUAACUCUGUG